RNAcentral lists this ribosomal RNA (375 nucleotides) under uncultured bacterium. RNAcentral's name for it is "bacterial SSU rRNA". It matches the Rfam family "Bacterial small subunit ribosomal RNA", at positions 28 to 412 of the family's 1533-position model. The record is from RNAcentral.
GAUGAACGCUGACAGAAUGCUUAACACAUGCAAGUCGACUGGAAUUCACCUUCGGGUGAUAGUACGGUGGCGGACGGGUGAGUAACGCGUAAAGAACUUGCCCUCUAGACUGGGACAACUGUUGGAAACGACAGCUAAUACCGGAUAUUAUGGGAACCUCGCAUGGGGAACUCAUGAAAGCUAUAUGCGCUAGAGGAGAGCUUUGCGUGCCAUUAGCUAGUGUGGUACGCCACCAGCGACGAUGGCUAGCCGGCCUGAGAGGUGAUCGGCCACAAGGGGACUGAGACACGGCCCUUACUCCUACGGGAGGCAGCAGUGGGGAAUAUUGGACAAUGGACCAAAAGUCUGAUCCAGCAAUUCUGUGUGCACGAUGAA